CUGGCAAACAUCGUUACCCAAUUACUUUGAUGUAGCUAUGGAAGAUAUUAAACUUAAAGAAGGAUCUGACACGAUUUUCUUAAUCAAAGGAAAUGUUGAACAAAAAUUUGACCUGGAUGAUGAAUGGAAGGUGGAAAUAAAACUCUUCCAUAGUGAUACUGCUGACGGUGAAUACACUGAAUAUGCGUCAUUUCCCGAGUUCGGGGUCUGUGCUUUCAUGAAGUCGCUGUAAAGAGUUACUUUUAUCCAGCUAUGAAGGAGUGCUCGAACCUACCAGAUCCUGAAACGUGUCCGAUAACAAAGGCGAAGUACCAUGCCAA
Bradysia coprophila is the source of this 320-nucleotide long non-coding RNA. The record is from RefSeq and is a predicted model, not a curated record. NCBI's taxonomy places the organism in Eukaryota, Metazoa, Arthropoda, Insecta, Diptera, Sciaridae.